RNAcentral lists this ribosomal RNA (576 nucleotides) under Lodderomyces parapsilosis. RNAcentral describes it as "LSU rRNA". It matches the Rfam family "Eukaryotic large subunit ribosomal RNA", at positions 35 to 627 of the family's 3401-position model. The record is from RNAcentral. Lineage: Eukaryota; Fungi; Ascomycota; Pichiomycetes; Serinales; Debaryomycetaceae.
UUAGCAAUCUAAGCGGAGGAAAAGAAACCAACAGGGAUUCCUUAGUAGCGGCGAGUAAGCGCAAAAGCUCAAAUUUGAAAUCGUUCACUUUCACGUUNCGAGUUGUAAUUUGAAGAAGGUAUCUUUGGGUCUGGCUCUUGUCUAUGUUUCUUGGAACAGAACGUCACAGAUGGUGAGAAUCCCGUGCGAUGAGAUGUCCCAGACCUAUGUAAAGUUCCUUCGAAGAGUCGAGUUGUUUGGGAAUGCAGCUCUAAGUGGUGUAAUCCUAUCAAGUCAAAUAUUGCGAGAGACCGAUAGCGAACAAGUACAGUGAUGGAAAGAUGAAAAGAACUUUGAAAAGAGAGUGAAAAAGUACGUGAAAUUGUUGAAAGGGAAGGGCUUGAGACUCAGACUUGGUAUUUUGUAUGUUACUCUCUCGGGGGUGGCCUCUACAGUUUACCGGGCCAGCAUCAGUUUGAGCGGUAGGAUAAGUGCAAAGAAAUGUGGCACUGCUUCGGUAGUGUGUUAUAGUCUUUGUCGAUACUGCCAGCUUAGACUGAGNACUGCGGCUUCGGCCUAGGAUGUUGGCAUAAUGCU